GUAGUGAUACUAAUGUUUCUAAAUUAUCUGUGCUUUCAGUAUAUGUCCUGGAUUGUGCUGUUCCUCUCUCCUAUGUAAAUAUUCUCUGCUGUGCUACGCAAAAUGGCUGCUAAAUGUGCCUUCCACAUCAGAGAGUGAAGCAUGAAAGUACAAUGGGCGUUCGUAUCAAAAGGAUAUAAAGGUUAUUCCUUCCCUCCUCCUGAGAAACUUCUGUUUCAUGGAAGAACAGACCCAGUGAGAGGAGGCUACCUCAUCUGGCAAGCCACUGACUUGUAGCACAGCAUGGAGCUUCAGUGACAUGCUAUGAGAACAGGAGAAAGAGAAUGCCAAAAGGUUUGGUAGGUUAUGGAAGAAGAAGUUGGACGUGAGAAUCAUCUAGAAAUAAAUUAACAGGUAUUAAAAAAAAAUAAUUCUUA
RNAcentral lists this long non-coding RNA (416 nucleotides) under Coturnix japonica (Japanese quail). RNAcentral describes it as "lncRNA (ENSCJPG00005015526.1)". The record is from RNAcentral. Lineage: Eukaryota; Metazoa; Chordata; Aves; Galliformes; Phasianidae.